This 220-nucleotide unclassified non-coding RNA is filed under the name Hevea brasiliensis (rubber tree). Lineage: Eukaryota; Viridiplantae; Streptophyta; Magnoliopsida; Malpighiales; Euphorbiaceae. The record is from RNAcentral.
CGAACAGCCAAUCGCACCACCGGAACGAUGUCGAGAAGUUGUUCACAAACGCCAUGUGGUGGAAGUCGUGGUGCUCCGCCCCAGACCAGAACGGGACGAUGUGCUGCAGCGACCACGGGAAGUCAUAGCCGGAGUGUGAAUCAAUGGCCUGGAAGAGACGGAGGGUGAUCCAAAUGUAGACGGUGACAAUGUGGAGGUCGUGGCGGAACGCGCAGUAGAG